RNAcentral lists this ribosomal RNA (432 nucleotides) under uncultured bacterium. RNAcentral describes it as "partial 16S ribosomal RNA". It matches the Rfam family "Bacterial small subunit ribosomal RNA", at positions 29 to 507 of the family's 1533-position model. The record is from RNAcentral.
AACGAACGCUGGCGGCAGGCCUAACACAUGCAAGUCGAGCGAGGACUUCGGUUCUAGCGGCGGACGGGUGAGUAACGCGUGGGAAUGUGCCCUUCUCUACGGAAUAGCCCUGGGAAACUGGGAGUAAUACCGUAUACGCCCUAUUGGGGAAAGAUUUAUCGGAGAAGGAUCAGCCCGCGUUGGAUUAGGUAGUUGGUGGGGUAAUGGCUACCAAGCCGACGAUCCAUAGCUGGUUUGAGAGGAUGAUCAGCCACACUGGAACUGAGACACGGCCCAGACUCCUACGGGAGGCAGCAGUGGGGAAUCUUAGACAAUGGGGGCAACCCUGAUCUAGCCAUGCCGCGUGAGUGAUGAAGGCCUUAGGGUUGUAAAGCUCUUUCAGCUGGGAAGAUAAUGACGGUACCAGCAGAAGAAGCCCCGGCUAACUCCGUG